GACGAACGCUGGCGGCGCGCCUAACACAUGCAAGUCGAACGAGCGAGAGAGAGCUUGCUUUCUCGAGCGAGUGGCGAACGGGUGAGUAACGCGUGAGGAACCUGCCUCAAAGAGGGGGACAACAGUUGGAAACGACUGCUAAUACCGCAUAAGCCCACGACCCGGCAUCGGGUAGAGGGAAAAGGAGCAAUCCGCUUUGAGAUGGCCUCGCGUCCGUUUAGCUAGUUGGUGAGGUAACGGCCCACCAAGGCGACGAUCGGUAGCCGGACUGAGAGGUUGAACGGCCACAUUGGGACUGAGACACGGCCCAGACUCCUACGGGAGGCAGCAGUGGGGAAUAUUGCACAAUGGGGGAAACCCUGAUGCAGCGACGCCGCGUGGAGGAAGAAGGUCUUCGGAUUGUAAACUCCUGUUGUUGAGGAAGAUAAUGACGGUACUCAACAAGGAAGUGACGGCUAACUACGUG
This 466-nucleotide ribosomal RNA is filed under the name uncultured bacterium. RNAcentral describes it as "partial 16S ribosomal RNA". It matches the Rfam family "Bacterial small subunit ribosomal RNA", at positions 28 to 507 of the family's 1533-position model. The record is from RNAcentral.